Long non-coding RNA from Notolabrus celidotus (New Zealand spotty), 468 nucleotides. RefSeq lists it as uncharacterized. The transcript is spliced from 3 exons. The record is from RefSeq and is a predicted model, not a curated record. NCBI's taxonomy places the organism in Eukaryota, Metazoa, Chordata, Actinopteri, Labriformes, Labridae.
UCCCCUUUCCUCUGAACCUGGCAGUCGGCGUUCAGGGACUGACGAAGGUGGAUAGGCACCCUGGGGCGCACAGUUUGGCGUGCCCUUUUACAUUUGUGUGUCAGGCAAGAGCAGUCUCCAGCGGGGGUGAAACAAAUUGAAACAUCCAGGUUGGAGGUGGGUUUGACAAAGUUAGAGUCUGUCACAUCAUCAUCAUCAUCGUCCUCUUUAUCAUCGUCACUAAUGGUAGGGUGCUGUGGGCCGACACGAGCAGCAGUCCCCUUCCCUGGUGUUGGUGUUCUUCACAAAUCAUUUGGUUGUUGUGUUUCACAGUUGUCUUUGAUUUGUGUGUUCUCCUUGGUUGUCCUGCCGCCGUGGUAAGCCCCAGCCCAUACGUAUUGCUUGUCUCCGUAGAAUUGUUGCCUCCUGUGGGGAAUAAUUUAAACUUUCCUUCAAAACGAAGGAAUAAAUUGUACAUUUUUAUAAGAA